Zingiber officinale is the source of this 823-nucleotide RNA transcript. RefSeq lists it as uncharacterized. The record is from RefSeq and is a predicted model, not a curated record. Lineage: Eukaryota; Viridiplantae; Streptophyta; Magnoliopsida; Zingiberales; Zingiberaceae. The transcript has 4 exons.
GGGUGACGCUGUUCUAAAAUAUCACUGGGUGGAGAAAAUCAGAAAACCCUCGGUGAACCCUAGGAUUUGAUCUCCGCGGUAUCUCGAUCCGUGUUUUCUAUGCGAGCAAGGAAGGGGGAAGAGGAGAUUGUGGAUUUAGUCACCGAGAUAUCUCGAUCCGUGUUUUCGAGGCGAGCGGGUAGGGGUAGAGGAGAUGGCGAGCUGGAGAAGAACCCUAGGGAAUGUGAGGUCCUUCGUGGGAAACGCGACGGGAGGUCUCCGAGGAGGACCCAACCUUGCUUCGUGGGUGGUCGCCGGCACCUUGGCCUACUUCCUCUGGGUCAAGCCCGCCCAGGAUCUCAGGAAGGAGCAGGAGGAGAAAGCUGCUUUGGCUGCAGCCUCAGAUCCUUACCGCUACAUUGAGAAAACCAAACCCAUUCCAGAUCCUCAGGUAACCGGUUUGAUAUAUGGGAAGAGAGAGGAAACCACCAAAUCUGAGAGCUGAUUCUGAGAAUCUGGCGGCAAUAUGUUUGGAACCAGCAUUUUGAAGGGUUCUUCUUGCAUAUCCAAGGACUUUAUCAACAAAACAAAGUAAUGCACGGAUUUAUCCAUAUUUUGAAGAAAGAAAUAAAGGGACUUUUGCUUCACGGACUUACUGGAACAUGGAAUCCUUUUGCAAGCAGCCAAUAACACAUGGUCCCAGUUAAUAGUUUUAUAGGGAUUGAUAGUCAAGCCAAUUGUUUCCAUUUCUGUUUUAUCAUCCUGAUCUUAACUUAGCUUCAUGCCAAUGCAUUGAAUGUGUGCACAUACUGUUAUCUUCAAAUGAUUAUUCAGUUUCAGUUGA